GUCCCGCUCAUCAAACUCCUGCGCGUCACAUCAGUGGAUUGUGGGAUUCUCACAGCUCCUCACGCUGGUUAAACCUCCCGAGCUUCCGACGCUAAAGCAGCUCAAGAUUAAAACAUUGACGGCUCCAGCCACAGCGAGCAUCAGUCUGAACCUUCAUCUCAGCUUCAUCUCAGCUGCAUUUCUUACAUGAAAUGGGACCAAAAGUUCCUCUGGACGCUGAAAUGUCCCAGUUUACACCAAACACUUAGUGCAGAAAGAACAAAAAUGUGACUGUUUGCUGCAGGUGUUUCAAUCAGUAGGAGCAGAUAGAGGGCGCUCUUGGAAAAAGGAUCAAAACAAAAACACAGUGGAUUCCAGGCAACUCCAAAAAAGUAGAAAAAGUAAAAAAUCACACGAGGAAAAAUAUAGUUAACAGGCCUUUAUUAGAAAGGCUGUCCUGGUUACAGACAGUGGGUUAUAUGUGAAUUAUAAUGGGUUAUAUGUGAAUUAUAAUGGGUUAUAUGUGAAUUAUA
Boleophthalmus pectinirostris (great blue-spotted mudskipper) is the source of this 512-nucleotide long non-coding RNA. RefSeq lists it as uncharacterized. Lineage: Eukaryota; Metazoa; Chordata; Actinopteri; Gobiiformes; Gobiidae. The record is from RefSeq and is a predicted model, not a curated record. The transcript is spliced from 3 exons.